AGCCCGCGCCCCGUAAAAAGGGACGGCCCGCCCGAGGACCCCUAAACUCUGUUUUUAGUGGAACUUCUGAGUAAAACAAACAAAUAAAUCAAAACUUUCAACAACGGAUCUCUUGGUUCUGGCAUCGAUGAAGAACGCAGCAAAAUGCGAUAAGUAAUGUGAAUUGCAGAAUUCAGUGAAUCAUCGAAUCUUUGAACGCACAUUGCGCCCGCCAGUAUUCUGGCGGGCAUGCCUGUUCGAGCGUCAUUUCAACCCUCAAGCUCAGCUUGGUGUUGGGACUCGCGGUAACCCGCGUUCCCCAAAUCGAUUGGCGGUCACGUCGAGCUUCCAUAGCGUAGUAAUCAUACACCUCGUUACUGGUAAUCGUCGCGGCCACGCCGUAAAACCCCAACUUCUGAAUGUUGACCUCGGAUCAGGUAGGAAUACCCGCUGAACUUAAGCAUAUCAAUAAGCG
This 454-nucleotide ribosomal RNA is filed under the name Fusarium sp. CID44. RNAcentral's name for it is "eukaryotic LSU rRNA". The stretch from base 93 to 246 matches the Rfam family "5.8S ribosomal RNA". Lineage: Eukaryota; Fungi; Ascomycota; Sordariomycetes; Hypocreales; Nectriaceae. The record is from RNAcentral.